This 447-nucleotide long non-coding RNA is filed under the name Pan paniscus (pygmy chimpanzee). RNAcentral describes it as "lncRNA (ENSPPAG00000044190.1)". Lineage: Eukaryota; Metazoa; Chordata; Mammalia; Primates; Hominidae. The record is from RNAcentral.
AUUAGAGGCAAGGAAACAAAUCAUUCAUUCUAGAAACAAACACCAACCACAGAUCAGGUAUUUGGGGGGAAACUGCAAAGGCACCAUCGGUGAAAAUACUAGGAAGUAAAAAUGUGUAGGCAAGAGUGGUGAUGGGAAAGAAAUACAGAGAAAGAAGAAAAAACAAUGACAGAUGAACAAAAUAUUUUUGUUUCAUCAACCAAACAUAUUUUGUUCUCUUGGGACUCCUGAUACCAUACCUCACCUUCUUCUAUUUCUUCUGAUAACCACGGCUCUUCAUAUUCUGCAAUUCACCAUCAGAAAGGGGCAUGCUCUUCUCAUUCAUAGCUUGAGAACGUGGUGACUUUGGAUGGAAAAGAGUAGCAGUGAGUAAGUUUGGCCAUUUACUACAAUAAAAGUUGGCUUCUAACCUGCCUCCAUAUUUGUGUCACUGAUAUGCCAUUGCAG